GUCCCGUUCGUCUAGAGGCCUAGGACGCCGCCCUCUCACGGCGGCAACACGGGUUCGAAUCCCGUACGGGACGCCA
Molecule: transfer RNA, 76 nt
Filed under: Novacetimonas cocois
Lineage: Bacteria; Pseudomonadati; Pseudomonadota; Alphaproteobacteria; Acetobacterales; Acetobacteraceae
Also listed under: 1 other name
Description: Komagataeibacter cocois tRNA-Glu
Rfam family: tRNA
About the family: Transfer RNA (tRNA) molecules are approximately 80 nucleotides in length.
Source: RNAcentral